GACGAACGCUGGCGGCGUGCUUAACACAUGCAAGUCGAACGGAAAGGCCUCUUUCGGGGGGUACUCGAGUGGCGAACGGGUGAGUAACACGUGAGUAACCUGCCCUUGACUUUGGGAUAACUUCAGGAAACUGGGGCUAAUACCGGAUAGGAGCUCCUGCUGCAUGGUGGGGGUUGGAAAGUUUCGGCGGUUGGGGAUGGACUCGCGGCUAUCAGCUUGUUGGUGGGGUAGUGGCUUACCAAGGCUUUGACGGGUAGCCGGCCUGAGAGGGUGACCGGCCACAUUGGGACUGAGAUACGGCCCAGACUCCUACGGGAGGCAGCAGUGGGGAAUAUUGCACAAUGGGUGGAAGCCUGAUGCAGCAACGCCGUGUGCGGGAUGACGGCCUUCGGGUUGUAAACCGCUUUCGCUCAUGACGAAGCUUUGUGUGACGGUAGUGGGUAAAGAAGCACCGGCUAACUACGUG
Molecule: ribosomal RNA, 466 nt
Filed under: uncultured bacterium
Lineage: Bacteria
Description: partial 16S ribosomal RNA
Rfam family: Bacterial small subunit ribosomal RNA
Source: RNAcentral